AAGUUAUGCCAUUAAUUUCUCUUGAGGAGUUAGCAUUCACCGACUCAUAAUGGGGUUCAUUAUUCUAGUAAUAAUCAUGGUCAAUCACUUUUUUUUAUUGAACAAUGAGUUAAGCCAAUUACCAAAUGGCCUAAGUUGAGAAAGCCAACUAUCAGUUGUCAAUCAAUUCCUUCAAGAAUCUACGAAAAUUAAGGACAAUAUUACCUUUCCACACUAUUUUUCAUUAUUCUUUCAAUUUGUAUUAG
This 245-nucleotide long non-coding RNA is filed under the name Carica papaya (papaya). RNAcentral's name for it is "long non-coding RNA (CPAP_LNC007672)". The record is from RNAcentral. Lineage: Eukaryota; Viridiplantae; Streptophyta; Magnoliopsida; Brassicales; Caricaceae.